Molecule: small nucleolar RNA, 234 nt
Organism: Echinops telfairi (small Madagascar hedgehog)
Lineage: Eukaryota; Metazoa; Chordata; Mammalia; Afrosoricida; Tenrecidae
Source: Ensembl
CCGGCUGAUGAGACAAGGCGAAUGUGACCUGUGCUCCCUGGGGGUGGGAUCUGGAAUCUCAGUGGGGUGCCUGAGGCCUGGCUCCCCACUGUAAGGCCAGAUCAAUAGCACCGCUGGCCCUGAAUGCAUUUCCGCUGCUGGCCCCAGUUCUGGCAGCUGCGUGCAGGGGGGCCAACAGGCGGGGUCAAAGACGAGGGAGGCACAUGCGCUCUGAGCACAACCUUGGAUCUGACG